CUUUCUUAAUCCAGAAUCUCUGCCUAAAGCUGUUUCAGCUGAGACAGGGGAUUGUUUACACAAGGUGUAGGCUCCCUCCUCUCCACCUGGUUUCUGUCUGGGCCACACUGUUAGGGAUGAGGGCAAUACAUCAUUUAUCUUGGCCUCAUUUCACAGGCAGGUCCUGCUGUCAUUGUGCUGUCGGUGUCUGGACGUGCAGCAUCCUGAUAACCGUGCUCUGCUCUCUGGUGGGCCAUCCUGGAGACCCUGCUUUCACUGGACAGCUGCCAAGUGUUGCCUGCUUCAUCAUUUGUGGCAUUUACCUGCCAUGUGCUAUCAUGUGAACCCACGGUGGCGAUGGGAAGGGAUCCAUGGGAGGAGAGACUGCAUGGCUGUCAACAACCUCUUGGCAGGAAUCCUGCCUUACCCUGGAGAAAGGAGAUGCUGAGUCCUUGGCACAGACAGUCCUGUGAGCUGUGCAGGAAUCAAAGCAACUCUGCCAGAGAAAAAGAACACCAGUAAAUCUCCGGAUGUGUUGAGUGAGACAGCGAAAAGUGGCAUAAAAUGUAACAAGAAAAAUGUCGUGGCAGCUGAGGAUGUGUCAGUCAGCCUGCCGAGCACCUCUGUCCUUUGCAAAUUCUCAGCAAGAAUGCCUUCUAAGAGCUUUGAAUUCAGAAAAUGCAAUGAGCUAGGAUUUCAAACACCUCGAGUCUUUCAAGGAUG
RNAcentral lists this long non-coding RNA (702 nucleotides) under Anas platyrhynchos platyrhynchos (common mallard). RNAcentral describes it as "lncRNA (ENSAPLG00000019772.1)". The record is from RNAcentral. Lineage: Eukaryota; Metazoa; Chordata; Aves; Anseriformes; Anatidae.